Molecule: non-coding RNA, 340 nt
Organism: Pelobates cultripes (western spadefoot toad)
Lineage: Eukaryota; Metazoa; Chordata; Amphibia; Anura; Pelobatidae
Source: the annotation of a GenBank genome assembly
CUCAAAUUGACCGGUCAAAAUUUUGCCAUGCCUUUAACAUGGAGUAGUAUAAAUAUUUUGAGUCUUUGAGAGUUCUGACAAAUGCAGGUGAUACCAUGUCUGUGUAAUCUGGUCCAAAUGUUCUAUAAGCGUAUAAGAGAGAAAUUCCAUUGACAGGUUUCAUAUGUUGCAACUGGUUAAUGCAAGUGUUAUACAAAUGUUUAAGUCAAACGCGUUAUAUGGCCGUACGGGAUCCCUUCUGUAAAAAAUAAAAAAUAAACCCUUUGGUACCAGAAAUCUUAAAUAAAUCCAAUACAAACUAAAAUUGGUAUACCUUACAAUAAUAUGUUCUGAAUGCAGC